AUGGAAAAUGUGUGAGCAAUGGAACUGGAUACUCUUGCCAAUGCUCUGAAGACUCUGCCAACCUCAUGAAAUCCUCAGUACUCCCAUGUUUUAAAAAAUGUAACCUUGGAUCAGAUUGCACCGAUCUUAAUAUCCUACCGACAAGUCCACCGCCGCCGCCUUCUUCAGGCAGCAAUGGAAGUGGACCACAUGAAGCUUCGAAUUGCGCAAGGAACAUUCGGGCAUUCUCCGUGAUACUACUGUCAGCAAUGUUGCUAACAUGGCUUUAGAGAGGGAGAGAGAGAUGAAGAGAAUUAUAUUGAGCUAGGGUGACAAUGACAAUCAUUCAUUCAAUAAUGUCUUACGGUUUUAUACUUGUAAUCUAAUCCCAUAUUGGUUAGUCAUAUAUGAACUGGAGUUUUUACUAGAAACUCAUUUUCCCAUUCACUAUAUAGCAAUC
Tripterygium wilfordii is the source of this 439-nucleotide long non-coding RNA. RefSeq lists it as uncharacterized. The record is from RefSeq and is a predicted model, not a curated record. The transcript is spliced from 3 exons. NCBI's taxonomy places the organism in Eukaryota, Viridiplantae, Streptophyta, Magnoliopsida, Celastrales, Celastraceae.